CACGGAAUUAGCCGGUGCUUCUUCUGAGGGUAGCGUCAAGUGCACGGAGUAUUAGCCCGUACCAUUUCCUCCCCUCUGAAAGUGCUUUACAACCCGAAGGCCUUCUUCACACACGCGGCAUGGCUGCGUCAGGGUUGCCCCCAUUGCGCAAUAUUCCCCA
Molecule: ribosomal RNA, 160 nt
Filed under: uncultured bacterium
Lineage: Bacteria
Description: partial 16S ribosomal RNA
Source: RNAcentral